This 433-nucleotide ribosomal RNA is filed under the name uncultured bacterium. RNAcentral describes it as "partial 16S ribosomal RNA". It matches the Rfam family "Bacterial small subunit ribosomal RNA", at positions 29 to 507 of the family's 1533-position model. The record is from RNAcentral.
AACGAACGCUGGCGGCAUGCCUAACACAUGCAAGUCGAACGAGACCUUCGGGUCUAGUGGCGCACGGGUGCGUAACGCGUGGGAACCUGCCUUUAGGUUCGGAAUAACUCAGAGAAAUUUGAGCUAAUACCGGAUGAUGUCUUCGGACCAAAGAUUUAUCGCCUUUAGAUGGGCCCGCGUUGGAUUAGCUAGUUGGUGGGGUAAAGGCCUACCAAGGCGACGAUCCAUAGCUGGUCUGAGAGGAUGAUCAGCCACACUGGGACUGAGACACGGCCCAGACUCCUACGGGAGGCAGCAGUGGGGAAUAUUGGGCAAGGGGCGAAAGCCUGAUCCAGCAAUGCCGCGUGAGUGAUGAAGGCCGUAGGGUUGUAAAGCUCUUUUACCCGAGAUGAUAAUGACAGUAUCGGGAGAAUAAGCUCCGGCUAACUCCGUG